UACGAAUGGGGCUAGCGUUGUUCGGAAUCACUGGGCGUAAAGCGCACGUAGGCGGAUCUUUAAGUCAGGGGUGAAAUCCCGAGGCUCAACCUCGGAACUGCCUUUGAUACUGGGGAUCUCGAGUCCGGGAGAGGUGAGUGGAACUGCGAGUGUAGAGGUGAAAUUCGUAGAUAUUCGCAAGAACACCAGUGGCGAAGGCGGCUCACUGGCCCGGAACUGACGCUGAGGUGCGAAAGCGUGGGGAGCAAACAGG
Molecule: ribosomal RNA, 253 nt
Filed under: uncultured bacterium
Lineage: Bacteria
Description: partial 16S ribosomal RNA
Rfam family: Bacterial small subunit ribosomal RNA
Source: RNAcentral